Molecule: ribosomal RNA, 477 nt
Filed under: uncultured bacterium
Lineage: Bacteria
Description: partial 16S ribosomal RNA
Rfam family: Bacterial small subunit ribosomal RNA
Source: RNAcentral
AACAAACGCUGGCGGCGUGCCUAAUACAUGCAAGUCGAACGAGGAAAGCUUUCGGGUGAGUACUAGUGGCGCACGGGUGAGGAAUACAUGGGUAAUCUGCCCUCGAGUUGGGGAUAACCAGUCGAAAGAUUGGCUAAUACCGAAUAAGACCACAGGAUCUGCGGAUCUAGGGGUUAAAGGUUUUUCGCUUGAGGAUGAGCCCAUGCGGGAUUAGCUAGUUGGGGAGGGAUGGCUCACCAAGGCUACGAUCCCUAACUGGUCUUAGAGGAUGAUCAGUCACACUGGACCUGAGACACGGUCCAGACUCCUACGGGAGGCAGCAGUAGGGAAUAUUGAACAAUGGGGGAAACCUUGAUGCAGCGACGCCGCGUGAGUGAUGAAGGCCUUCGGGUCGUAAAGCUCUGUCGUAUGGGACUAACACAAUGAAGGUACCAUGCAAGAAAGGAUCGGCUAACUUCGUGCCAGCCGCCGCCGUAA